CUAUCAUCAUUUUUUUUUGAGAAAUUCAUUUUCAGCCGUUAAUUUUUGUGUCCACUCGAUGGAUAAGAGAACAAUAUCGAAAAUAUAUGAAAUUUGAUUUCUAAAUACUUUAAAUGGUAUAGAUCAUGUUCACCGAUGCCGAUCAUCAAUUUGGAGGCUCCAUCAUGAAAACAAAUGGAUGGCAAAAGAGCGAUUUGCUAUCGAUAGUAUUCUAGCUCA
RNAcentral lists this long non-coding RNA (219 nucleotides) under Ananas comosus (pineapple). Its description in RNAcentral is "long non-coding RNA (ACOM_LNC032820)". Lineage: Eukaryota; Viridiplantae; Streptophyta; Magnoliopsida; Poales; Bromeliaceae. The record is from RNAcentral.